UAGGGAAUCUUCCGCAAUGGACGCAAGUCUGACGGAGCAACGCCGCGUGAGUGAAGAAGGAUUUCGGUUCGUAAAACUCUGUUGUUAGAGAAGAACAGCGCAUAGAGUAACUGUUAUGCGUGUGACGGUAUCUAACCAGAAAGCCACGGCUAACUACGUGCCAGCAGCCGCGGUAAUACGUAGGUGGCAAGCGUUGUCCGGAUUUAUUGGGCGUAAAGCGAGCGCAGGCGGUUUUUUAAGUCUGAUGUGAAAGCCCACGGCUCAACCGUGGAGGGUCAUUGGAAACUGGAAAACUUGAGUGCAGAAGAGGAAAGUGGAAUUCCAUGUGUAGCGGUGAAAUGCGUAGAUAUAUGGAGGAACACCAGUGGCGAAGGCGACUCUCUGGUCUGUAACUGACGCUGAGGCUCGAAAGCGUGGGUAGCAAACAGG
RNAcentral lists this ribosomal RNA (429 nucleotides) under Bacteroidota bacterium. Its description in RNAcentral is "Bacteroidetes bacterium partial 16S ribosomal RNA". It matches the Rfam family "Bacterial small subunit ribosomal RNA", at positions 355 to 776 of the family's 1533-position model. The record is from RNAcentral. Lineage: Bacteria; Pseudomonadati; Bacteroidota.